CUACGGGGCGCUGCAGUGGGGAAUAUUGCACAAUGGGCGCAAGCCUGAUGCAGCCAUGCCGCGUGUAUGAAGAAGGCCUUCGGGUUGUAAAGUACUUUCAGCGGGGAGGAAGGGAGUAAAGUUAAUACCUUUGCUCAUUGACGUUACCCGCAGAAGAAGCACCGGCUAACUCCGUGCCAGCAGCCGCGGUAAUACGGAGGGUGCAAGCGUUAAUCGGAAUUACUGGGCGUAAAGCGCACGCAGGCGGUUUGUUAAGUCAGAUGUGAAAUCGCCGGGCUCAACCUGGGAACUGCAUCUGAUACUGGCAAGCUUGAGUCUCGUAGAGGGGGGUAGAAUUCCAGGUGUAGCGGUGAAAUGCGUAGAGAUCUGGAGGAAUACCGGUGGCGAAGGCGGCCCCUUGGACGAAGACUGACGCUCAGGUGCGAAAGCGUGGGGAGCAAACAGGAUUAGAUACCCCGGUAGUC
RNAcentral lists this ribosomal RNA (464 nucleotides) under uncultured bacterium. RNAcentral describes it as "partial 16S ribosomal RNA". It matches the Rfam family "Bacterial small subunit ribosomal RNA", at positions 339 to 795 of the family's 1533-position model. The record is from RNAcentral.